This 1292-nucleotide ribosomal RNA is filed under the name human gut metagenome. Its description in RNAcentral is "bacterial LSU rRNA". It matches the Rfam family "Bacterial large subunit ribosomal RNA", at positions 704 to 1980 of the family's 2925-position model. The record is from RNAcentral.
UGUACGUAGACCCGAAACCGCAGUGAUCUACCCAUGUCCAGGUUGAAGCGCAGGUAAAAUUGCGUGGAGGACCGAACCUGUGAGCGUUGAAAAGCUUUAGGAUGAGAUGUGGGUAGAGGUGAAAUUCCAAUCGAACGCGGAGAUAGCUGGUUCUCCCCGAAAUAGCUUUAGGGCUAGCCUCAAGUAGUAAGUAUAGGCGGUAGAGCACUGAUCGGGCUAGGGGCCAUAAAGGUUACCGAACCCUGUCAAACUCCGAAUGGUUAUACUGUAGAGCUUGGGAGUCAGACUACGAGUGAUAAGAUCCGUGGUCAAAAGGGAAACAGCCCAGACCACCAGCUAAGGUCCCCAAUGUCGUACUAAGUGGAAAAGGAUGUGGGGUCUCUAAAACAACCAGGAUGUUGGCUUAGAAGCAGCCACCAUUUAAAGAGUGCGUAAUAGCUCACUGGUCGAGAGACCCUGCGCCGAAGAUUACCGGGGCUAAAGUACGAAACCGAAGCUGUGGCUACGACGUAAGUCGUGGGGUAGGGGAGCGUUCUGUGAGGGCUGAAGUCGUUCUGUAAGGAACGGUGGACUUCACAGAAGUGAGAAUGUUGGUAUGAGUAGCGAAAAGAAUGGUGAGAAUCCAUUCCACCGAAAGCAUAAGGAUUCCUGGGCAACGAUCGUCGUCCCAGGGUAAGUCGGGACCUAAUCCGAGGCAUGGAGCGUAGGAGAUGGACAACUGGCAGAUAUUCCAGUACCGGUAAUGAUUGUUUGAGCGAUGGAGUGACACAGGAGGGCAGGCAGGCAGGAGAUUGGUUGUUCCUGUACAAGCGUGUAGGAUGGGACGUAGGCAAAUCCGCGUCCUGUGAGUCUGAGGCGUGAUGUGGAGGUUCCGGAAACGGAACUGAAGCUGCUGACCCCACACUGUCGAGAAAAGCUUCUAGUUAGAGAAUUGCCGCCCGUACCGUAAACCGACACAGGUAUGCGGGGAGAGAAUCCUAAGGUGCGCGGGAGAACCCUCGUUAAGGAACUCGGCAAAAUGUACCCGUAACUUCGGGAUAAGGGUAGCCGCUGUUGUGAAGUCUGAACAGACGGAGCAUGAGGCGGUCGCAGAGAAGAGGCCCAAGCGACUGUUUACCACAAACACAGGUGCCUGCUAAAGAGAAAUCUGACGUAUAGGUGCUGACACCUGCCCAGUGCCGGAAGGUUAAGGAAGGAUGUCCGGAGCAAUCCAAAGCAUUCGACCGAAGCCCCGGUGAACGGCGGCCGUAACUAUAACGGUCCUAAGGUAGCGAAAUUCCUUGUCGGGUAAG